AGUCGAGCGGAAACGAUGGGAGCUUGCUCCCAGGCGUCGAGCGGCGGACGGGUGAGUAAUACUUAGGAAUCUACCUAGUAGUGGGGGAUAGCUCGGGGAAACUCGAAUUAAUACCGCAUACGUCCUACGGGAGAAAGCAGGGGAUCAUUAGACCUUGCGCUAUUAGAUGAGCCUAAGUCGGAUUAGCUAGUUGGUGGGGUAAAGGCCUACCAAGGCGACGAUCUGUAGCUGGUCUGAGAGGAUGAUCAGCCACACCGGGACUGAGACACGGCCCGGACUCCUACGGGAGGCAGCAGUGGGGAAUAUUGGACAAUGGGGGGAACCCUGAUCCAGCCAUGCCGCGUGUGUGAAGAAGGCCUUUUGGUUGUAAAGCACUUUAAGCAGUGAAGAAGACUCUUCGGUUAAUACCCGGGGACGAUGACAUUAGCUGCAGAAUAAGCACCGGCUAACUCUGUGCCAGCAGCCGCGGUAAUACAGAGGGUGCAAGCGUUAAUCGGAAUUACUGGGCGUAAAGCGAGCGUAGGUGGCUUGAUAAGUCAGAUGUGAAAUCCCCGGGCUUAACCUGGGAACUGCAUCUGAAACUGUUAGGCUAGAGUAGGUGAGAGGGAAGUAGAAUUUCAGGUGUAGCGGUGAAAUGCGUAGAGAUCUGAAGGAAUACCGAUGGCGAAAGCAGCUUCCUGGCAUCAUACUGACACUGAGGCUCGAAAGCGUGGGUAGCAAACAGGA
Molecule: ribosomal RNA, 726 nt
Filed under: uncultured Psychrobacter sp.
Lineage: Bacteria; Pseudomonadati; Pseudomonadota; Gammaproteobacteria; Moraxellales; Moraxellaceae
Description: bacterial SSU rRNA
Rfam family: Bacterial small subunit ribosomal RNA
Source: RNAcentral